AGUGAACGCUGGCGGUAGGCCUAACACAUGCAAGUCGAACGGCAGCACAGUAAGAGCUUGCUCUUACGGGAGGCGAGUGGCGGACGGGUGAGGAAUACAUCGGAAUCUACUUUUUCGUGGGGGAUAACGUAGGGAAACUUACGCUAAUACCGCAUACGACCUACGGGUGAAAGCAGGGGAUCUUCGGACCUUGCGCGAUUGAAUGAGCCGAUGUCGGAUUAGCUAGUUGGCGGGGUAAAGGCCCACCAAGGCGACGAUCCGUAGCUGGUCUGAGAGGAUGAUCAGCCACACUGGAACUGAGACACGGUCCAGACUCCUACGGGAGGCAGCAGUGGGGAAUAUUGCACAAUGGGCGCAAGCCUGAUCCAGCCAUACCGCGUGAGUGAAGAAGGCCUUCGGAUCGUAAAGCCCUUUUGUUGGGAAAGAAAAGCAGCAGGUUAAAAUGCCGCUGUUCUGACGGUACCUAAAGAAUAAGCACCGGCUAACUUCGUG
RNAcentral lists this ribosomal RNA (492 nucleotides) under uncultured bacterium. RNAcentral describes it as "partial 16S ribosomal RNA". It matches the Rfam family "Bacterial small subunit ribosomal RNA", at positions 29 to 507 of the family's 1533-position model. The record is from RNAcentral.